Molecule: ribosomal RNA, 1006 nt
Filed under: bacterium IARFR1983
Lineage: Bacteria
Description: bacterial SSU rRNA
Rfam family: Bacterial small subunit ribosomal RNA
Source: RNAcentral
AGUAGAACGCUGAAGAGAGGAGCUUGCUCUUCUUGGAUGAGUUGCGAACGGGUGAGUAACGCGUAGGUAACCUGCCUUGUAGCGGGGGAUAACUAUUGGAAACGAUAGCUAAUACCGCAUAACAAUGGAUGACACAUGUCAUUUAUUUGAAAGGGGCAAUUGCUCCACUACAAGAUGGACCUGCGUUGUAUUAGCUAGUAGGUGAGGUAACGGCUCACCUAGGCGACGAUACAUAGCCGACCUGAGAGGGUGAUCGGCCACACUGGGACUGAGACACGGCCCAGACUCCUACGGGAGGCAGCAGUAGGGAAUCUUCGGCAAUGGGGGCAACCCUGACCGAGCAACGCCGCGUGAGUGAAGAAGGUUUUCGGAUCGUAAAGCUCUGUUGUAAGUCAAGAACGAGUGUGAGAGUGGAAAGUUCACACUGUGACGGUAGCUUACCAGAAAGGGACGGCUAACUACGUGCCAGCAGCCGCGGUAAUACGUAGGUCCCGAGCGUUGUCCGGAUUUAUUGGGCGUAAAGCGAGCGCAGGCGGUUUGAUAAGUCUGAAGUUAAAGGCUGUGGCUCAACCAUAGUUCGCUUUGGAAACUGUCAAACUUGAGUGCAGAAGGGGAGAGUGGAAUUCCAUGUGUAGCGGUGAAAUGCGUAGAUAUAUGGAGGAACACCGGUGGCGAAAGCGGCUCUCUGGUCUGUAACUGACGCUGAGGCUCGAAAGCGUGGGGAGCGAACAGGAUUAGAUACCCUGGUAGUCCACGCCGUAAACGAUGAGUGCUAGGUGUUGGAUCCUUUCCGGGAUUCAGUGCCGCAGCUAACGCAUUAAGCACUCCGCCUGGGGAGUACGACCGCAAGGUUGAAACUCAAAGGAAUUGACGGGGGCCCGCACAAGCGGUGGAGCAUGUGGUUUAAUUCGAAGCAACGCGAAGAACCUUACCAGGUCUUGACAUCCCGAUGCUAUUUCUAGAGAUAGAAAGUUACUUCGGUACAUCGGUGACAGGUGGUGCAUGG